This 1175-nucleotide long non-coding RNA is filed under the name Zostera marina. RNAcentral describes it as "long non-coding RNA (ZMAR_LNC001161)". The record is from RNAcentral. Lineage: Eukaryota; Viridiplantae; Streptophyta; Magnoliopsida; Alismatales; Zosteraceae.
GUCAAAUCAAGAUCACUUAGCACCUGGACUACUUCCAGAAGUAUUCCUGGCUUGUUCAUGCUGUCAACCUUGACAACAGUGUAAUCAGCACUUAUCUCGUUGUCUAUUUUAACACUGCAGGCAAACAAACAAAAACCCAGGUGAUCAACUUCUUUCAUUCAUUAAGAAGCAUGCAAUCAUUAUUCAAAUUUGAUGCAUACCUUGGUGGAUUUAUUCUUUGACUAAGGUUCUCAUAUUCUGGGUCGAAAUAUGGCCAACAUACCCUAGGCUCCUCCAUGCCAAAGAGGCGUAUAUAUUACCCACCGGCCACCACCUCUUCCCUUCUUUGAUCUUAUAAACAGGUUAUAUCUAAACCGUAAACCUAUGAAUUUGCAGAAACUGAUCAAUCUUAGAUUUGGUUCAAGAUAAGAUGCUGAUAUUAUUUGAUUAGUCCCAGCAUGCUUCAAAACAUCUAGCAAAAGAAAAAGAAGAAGAAAAUAUUCUUUCCCCACUUGUUUUUUCUUUAUCUUCCUAUCGAGAGAAAGGUGGAUCUGUGAUCUGCAAUCAAUUUCGUAACAUCAGAUGAGUCAACGACAACUCAAUAAAACUAAGAAUUUAGAUCAAAUUAAAGUUAGUGGAAUCCAUUCCAUGUGUGAUGUAAAUUGAAGUCAUGUGGUGGCCAUGCAUGCAGCAAGUAAGGAAACAGUCAGGCAUGCAUAGCACCAAACAAGUGCUGAAAACAAGGUGUUCUGCAACAAAAUUAAUAAAAUCACAAUUCUAUCUAGGAUUUUGCAGCAUAGAUUGAAUGAUGAUUUUGUUGAUGAUGAUGAUGAUGAUUUUAUUUCUGUUUUUGCAGAAGCAAGUGCAAAGAUGACUGUACUGUACCCACCAAACAGGAGAAUAUAGAAAAGUUGAGCUCUCAGUAGAAUUCCCUAACAGUGCAGAUGAAGAAAAGAAGAUAUGAUGUAUGGUUUAAAAUCCUAACUAAAUCCAGUACCUCUUCUGCAAUGUAUGCAACAGUCUAGAACCCCAAAACAAGAAAGCUGGAAAUUAAAGACAACGCAAUCAAAUCAUCAAAAUCAUCCAGCUUUACUGCCUAGUUUACAGAGAAGGAGAGGAGGUCAGAAGUCUAACCUUUUUUUUUUUGGAGGAGAGAUCGAUGGACGGGUUGCUAAAGUUGAAAUUGAAAUGGGUUA